UAGAGUAUACCGACGCGAUCGAGUGAAUCGUGGUGAAGGAACUCGGCAAAAUGCCCCCGUAACUUUGGGAUAAGGGGGACCUGAGCUGUCGUGCACCCGUGCGGUGUGGUGGCGGUGAGGGGCGCAGAGUCCAGGGGGAAACGACUGUUUACCAAAAACACAGGUCCGUGCGAAGUCGUAAGACGAUGUAUACGGACUGACUCCUGCCCGGUGCUGGAAGGUUAAGGGG
RNAcentral lists this ribosomal RNA (229 nucleotides) under Prorocentrum minimum. Its description in RNAcentral is "partial Bacterial large subunit ribosomal RNA". It matches the Rfam family "Bacterial large subunit ribosomal RNA", at positions 1672 to 1884 of the family's 2925-position model. The record is from RNAcentral. Lineage: Eukaryota; Dinophyceae; Prorocentrales; Prorocentraceae.